RNAcentral lists this ribosomal RNA (244 nucleotides) under uncultured bacterium. RNAcentral's name for it is "partial 16S ribosomal RNA". It matches the Rfam family "Bacterial small subunit ribosomal RNA", at positions 335 to 600 of the family's 1533-position model. The record is from RNAcentral.
ACUCCUACGGGAGGCAGCAGUGGGAAUCUUGGACAAUGGGGCAACCCUGAUCCAGCCAUGCCGCGUGAGUGAAGAAGGCCUUAGGGUCGUAAAGCUCUUUCGCCUGUGAAGAUAAUGACGGUAGCAGGUAAAGAAACCCCGCUAACUCCGUGCCAGCAGCCGCGGUAAUACGGAGGGGGUUAGCGUUGUUCGGAAUUACUGGGCGUAAAGCGCGCGUAGGCGGAUUGGAAAGUUGGGGUGAAAU